ACAUUUCAUAUUUACAUUAAAAGAAAUCUCCUCAGAUAAUAUUAAAACAAGAACAAAAUAAACUCUGCUAGUCGACAAAAAUAGAACUCUGAUAGCAAUCCCUCUCCUCUUUUCUUAUUGGUUGAAACCAAGAUGGGGUGGAUAGCAAUUAUACACCACUGAUUACAAAAAAUCAAUGGUUCAGAUUUAUUCAGAUUGUGUUUCUAUAACUCACAUCUCUCCCCUGUCCCACUACGAUCUUUCUGUAUCUCACUAUCUCUCUCGCACAAUCUUCAUUCUUGUACAGAAUGAACAACAAAUUAAUCAAUACAGACUGAGAGAAUAAGAAGAAGCAAUCUCACUAUCUCUCGCACAAUUCUUCGUUCAAUAUGUGUUGAUGAAGAUGGUGAAGCGUGACGGCAGAGAAAGGUUAGAAGAUAGACGGAGAGAAGAAGAAUCUCAGACGACGAUGUUCACACCGGAAGAGGCUCAGACGACGGCGGAUCUGAGUGAAACAGCAUGAAGAAGAAGGAGGAGCUUCCGGGUGGAGACGGCAGAGGAAGAAGAUGUCACGAAGAAGCAGAGAUGGAGAGUGAGCUUUAGUGUGGCACUGUGGCUCCUCAACUCGCGGCGUGGAAUGUGGAGGAGAGGGAGCACCGGUUUGGAAGGAGGACUGGAAGAUCCGGUGUAUGGCUCCUCAACUCCGCCUUUGUCUUAGGAGGCAAGCCGUCGUCUCCGUCUCCGGCAAAUAGAUAUAUGUAUAAUAUUUAUAUGUAUUUAUGUAAAUAAGAUUUUAUAUUAUUUGUAUUUGUAUUUUAUAAAUAAUUAAUGCAAUUUUUAUU
RNAcentral lists this long non-coding RNA (821 nucleotides) under Brassica napus (rape). RNAcentral's name for it is "long non-coding RNA (BNAP_LNC015084)". Lineage: Eukaryota; Viridiplantae; Streptophyta; Magnoliopsida; Brassicales; Brassicaceae. The record is from RNAcentral.